GACGAACGCUGGCGGCGUGCCUAAUACAUGCAAGUCGAACGCUGAAGGAGGAGCUUGCCUCUCUGGACGAGUUGCGAACGGGUGAGUAACGCGUAGGGAACCUGCCUGGAAGCGGGGGAUAACUAUUGGAAACGAUAGCUAAUACAGCAUAAUAGAAGAUGUUGCACGACAUUCGCUUAAAAGGUGCAAUUGCAUCACUACUAGAUGGACCUGCGUUGUAUUAAUUAGUAGGUGGGGUAAUGGCUCAACAAGGCGACGAUACAUAGCCGACCUGGGAGGGGGGUCGGCCACACUGGGACUGGGGCACGGCCCCGACUCCUUCGGGAGGCAGCCAGAGGGGAUCUUCGGCCAUGGACGGAAGUCUGACCGGGCAACGCCGCGUGGGGGAAGGAGGGUCUCCGGUCGUUAAGCUCUGUUGUAAGGGAAGAACGAGUGUGGGAGUGAAAAGUUCACGCUGUGACGGUAUCUUACCAGAAAGCGACGGCUAACUACGUG
Molecule: ribosomal RNA, 495 nt
Filed under: uncultured bacterium
Lineage: Bacteria
Description: partial 16S ribosomal RNA
Rfam family: Bacterial small subunit ribosomal RNA
Source: RNAcentral